RNAcentral lists this ribosomal RNA (277 nucleotides) under uncultured bacterium. Its description in RNAcentral is "partial 16S ribosomal RNA". It matches the Rfam family "Bacterial small subunit ribosomal RNA", at positions 15 to 279 of the family's 1533-position model. The record is from RNAcentral.
GAUCCUGGCUCAGGAUGAACGCUAGCUACAGGCUUAACACAUGCAAGUCGAGGGGAAACGACAGUAAAGCUUGCUUUAUUGGGCGUCGACCGGCGCACGGGUGCGUAACGCGUAUCCAACCUGCCCCCAACUCCGGAAUAGUCCCCCGAAAGGGGGGUAACGGCCGGAUGCUGCAAUUUUUCCGUCAUGGUGAAAUUGCGAAAUAGAAAAAGGUUAGGGGCGUGGGGAGUGCGUCCCAUUAGGUAGUAGGCGGGGUAACGGCCCACCUAGCCGACGA